AUUGAACGCUGGCGGCAGGCCUAACACAUGCAAGUCGAGCGAGCGGCGGACGGGUGAGUAAUGUCUGGGAAACUGCCUGAUGGAGGGGGAUAACUACUGGAAACGGUAGCUCAUACCGCAUACCAUCAGAUGUGCCCAGAUGGGAUUGUCGGGUAGGUGGGGUAACGGCUCACCUAGGCGACGAUCCCUAGCUGGUCUGAGAGGAUGACCAGCCACACGGGAACGGAAAAACGGUCCAGACUCCAAGGGGAGGCAGCAGUGGGGAAUAUUGCACAAGGGGGGAAAGCCUGAUGCAGCCAUGCCGCGGGUGUAAAGAGGGCCUUCGGGUUGUAAAGCACUUUCAGCGGGGAGGCGUUACCCGCAGAAGAAGCACCGGCUAACUCCGUGCCAGCAGCCGCGGUAAUUC
RNAcentral lists this ribosomal RNA (406 nucleotides) under uncultured bacterium. RNAcentral describes it as "partial 16S ribosomal RNA". It matches the Rfam family "Bacterial small subunit ribosomal RNA", at positions 29 to 526 of the family's 1533-position model. The record is from RNAcentral.